RNAcentral lists this ribosomal RNA (222 nucleotides) under Clostridium tetani. RNAcentral describes it as "23S rRNA. Bacterial LSU". It matches the Rfam family "Bacterial large subunit ribosomal RNA", at positions 2703 to 2925 of the family's 2925-position model. The record is from RNAcentral. Lineage: Bacteria; Bacillati; Bacillota; Clostridia; Eubacteriales; Clostridiaceae.
UGACCUCUGGUGCACCAGUUGUCACGCCAGUGGCACAGCUGGGUAGCUAAGUCGGGAAGGGAUAAACGCUGAAAGCAUCUAAGCGUGAAGCCCACCCUAAGAUGAGAUUUCCCAUGACGUAAGUCAAUAAGAUCCCUUGAAGAACACAAGGUUGAUAGGUCAGAGGUGUAAGUGCAGCAAUGUAUUUAGCUGACUGAUACUAAUAGAUCGAAGGCUUGAUCA